Populus euphratica (Euphrates poplar) is the source of this 894-nucleotide long non-coding RNA. RefSeq lists it as uncharacterized. The record is from RefSeq and is a predicted model, not a curated record. The transcript is spliced from 2 exons. NCBI's taxonomy places the organism in Eukaryota, Viridiplantae, Streptophyta, Magnoliopsida, Malpighiales, Salicaceae.
GUAUAAAUUGCCAAGCAUCAAAUCAACUGUGCCCAGUAGACAGUAUCUCUCAAACAUCCAGUAUUUUGUAUAUUUCUUCUCAGUACUUGAUUUGAAUGCCUUAUUUUGUGUUACUGUAAAAUAAUGCACCAAUUUUAAUCAUAAUCAGGUGGGAAUUCCUUAUGAUCGUGAACAUUAUAUCCAUCGGCUUGGAAGAACAGGACGCGAAGGGAAAGAUGGAGAAGGGAUCUUAUUGCUCGCGCCAUGGGAAGAAUAUUUCCUGAAUGAGUUAAAAGACCUGCCAAUCGAGAAAUUCCCUUUACCACAAAUUGAUUCUGAAACAAAUUUUAAGAUGGAGGAGUCAAUGUCAAAGAUUGAUAGUAGUGUCAAAGAAGGAGCAUAUCAUGCUUGGCUAGGGUAUUACAACUCCAUCAGAGAGAUUGGAAGGGAUAAAACAACGCUUGUUGAGCUGGCCAACCAAUUUUCCGAGUCAAUAGGCUUACAUAAACCUCCUUCCCUCUUCAGAAAAACAGCACUAAAGAUGGGUUUGAAAGACAUUCCUGGUAUCCGGAUCCGGAGGUAGUACUUAUUUGGAGCAUUGAUGCAUGCAAGCAGCUGGUUAGUGUUGCUGAGAUUUAACUUGUGCUGAAAGACCAGCUUCAAUUUUUAUUCCACUUGAAAGCUGGUAAUAUGUGAUAGGUCUAGCUCCUGCUUUCAAUCACCAUACUAUUGUGUCUUCUAAGCUUUGUAAUUGCGAUUUUGAUGGGUCAUUCUAUUGCAUUAUCCAAUGCAGCGUGUUCAUGAUCAGGGUUUUUGGGUUCCUUAGUUGGAUAGAAUGGCAAUGCUUUCAUACACAUGCACUCCUGCUACCCUGUAUAUUGUUGUUUGGUAAUAUAAUUGUUGUUAUUAGUUUUC